Long non-coding RNA from Lutra lutra (Eurasian river otter), 1959 nucleotides. RefSeq lists it as uncharacterized. NCBI's taxonomy places the organism in Eukaryota, Metazoa, Chordata, Mammalia, Carnivora, Mustelidae. The transcript has 3 exons. The record is from RefSeq and is a predicted model, not a curated record.
ACCUUUUCUAGAAGGAAACUGGAUUCCCUACUGGAGCCCAAGAAGGAGCAAAAAGACCCCUCUGAUUUCCAGCCACAUGUUUGGCCACCUGUUACAAAAGCCUGACCCUGAGAUACUCAUCUCCUGAUGCCUGCCAGGGGGACCCCCCACCCCCGCCCCGCAGCUGCUGGCGUAAUGACAGGUCAGCUUGCAGCUGCCGGACACUGUGUGCACGGGCCAGAGUAUAUUCAAACGAUUGUCCCUAAAGGCAUUUUGUUUUUCAGGAUGGUAGCAUCCACUGUGGAGACUUUCUCUUUGUAAGCUAAAUGCACAUCAUGGGCAACGGGACAUUCUGAGCAUCUUGGCCUCGGCUGAGACGUGGUGCCACCGCCCCUCCUAUUGGAGGAGGAUGGAGGCAAACACGGCCAAUGGACGGGGGAGCUAGAGAGAGCCGUGUGGGGGAUGAGACCCAAAGGAAAGCAGAUCACGUGAGAGAAUGUCAGGGGCACUCAACGAACUCACCCGAAUGAGAAAGGUUCAGGAACGGUAAGCCAGACUCGGGCUCCCGUCCUGCACCUCAGAGGGGAGGGUUAACGCUUCGAUCUUCCUGCCCCAGCCCCUUGCUGACGUGUGUGAUUUGAGAUAAAGGAGCUAUGUGUGCCCUUGAAUGGAAAUAUCCGUAGCCCGUGGAGCUCAGGAACACUUGCCCAGUGACAUCCCGAGACUGAGCGAGCAGACACGUUCGCCCUGUUUGCAAAGUCAGCGUUGCCGCUGGGGGAGAAGCAGGGGCGGGUUGCGCAUCCGAGCAGGGCCUGUUCUGGACUGGACUGUGAGCCCUGGCACGGCCACCGAGGAUGGGGGCCGUGGUGGAGGCUGUCCCCCGCCUCUGUCCAGGGGAGCGGAAUUGCUGCUUGACUAACUGGAGAACAUUUAUCUUCCUCUCUGUGCUGGGAGCAUUUCCCUUCUCACUUGGUGAGAGCUUCAAUACUGAGUUUCGGCUUCCCCAGUGCUGGCAAAAUCAGGGGCCACCUUCCCUGUCUCCGGCCUAGGCCUUCACUACAGUGUCAGUGGACUUGGCCGUAUCAAGGUACUCACGGUAGAAAGAAGCCCCGGAAGUAAUGCCUCAGGGGUGCUGCUGGCCCUGGCACUUGGGUGGUGGGUGCAGAGAACAAGGCCAGAAUGGCUCUGAGCCCAUGUGGGACUACCCUGUAGAGUCUCAAUGCUCUAUGGGAGCAGUGGCACCCUAAGAGACUGACCUUUGUGCCACUGCACAGCUGGGAGCUUGGAGCCUUGAGAUUUGGGCAUUCAGGUUAGUGGGACCAUCUCUUGACUUUCUGAAUGAGGAAGCCUGUGACAUGUGGCCUGUGCUUGGAUGUGGAAUCACCACAGACACCGUUGAUUCUCCCCCUUCGCCCAGGCAGCCUGCCUGACAGAUGGACGGUCUGCAUCAUGCUAAUUAGUGUUUGCUCCUCUGCUCCCGUGUGCGUGCCUUAUGCCCUCCCUCCUGUGCUUGCCCGUGCCCUUGAAGGCAGGGGCUGUCUCUUCCCUCCCCCCACCCCCGUCUCCCCGCAACGUGUGUCUGAACUCAGAGGUAGUCAGGCCCUGGGGUUCACGAAGGUCCCCUUGUGCUCAUUACUCCUGCUAACAGGUGCUCAGCUCAGGGCCUGUGGUCUUGGAUUCCAGGGGGCCUGACCUGAGCUGGAGAGGUAAGGAAUGGGGUCCAAGGCUCCUAUGCCAUGCCCCGUCUUCACAGAGACGUCCCCGCCCCACCCCCAGAGGAAACACCACCCCUGUCACCACCCACCUCCUGAAUCUGACUUAGUUUUCUUCUCAGCACUUUUCACUCCCAUAUUUGCCCUUGUCUCUCCCCAUCAGAACUGAGCUCUGUGAAGGCAGGGAUUUCUGUUUUGUUCCCUGCUCAUUGUCCAGGCCUAGAAUAGCACUGGGCAUGGAAAGAAUAUCUUCGCCAAUACUUGUUGA